AGAGUUUGAUCAUGGCUCAGGAUGAACGCUAGCGGCAGGCUUAAUACAUGCAAGUCGAGGGGCAGCAGCUUUAUAGCAAUAUAGAGGCUGGCGACCGGCAAACGGGUGCGGAACACGUACACAACCUUCCUUGAAUAGGGGGAUAGCCCAUAGAAAUGUGGAUUAAUACCCCGUAAUAUAGCGGUGUGGCAUCACACUGUUAUUAUAGUUUCGGCGAUUCGAGAUGGGUGUGCGGCUGAUUAGGUAGUUGGCGGGGUAAAGGCCCACCAAGCCUUCGAUCAGUAGCUGAUGUGAGAGCAUGAUCAGCCACACGGGCACUGAGACACGGGCCCGACUCCUACGGGAGGCAGCAGUAAGGAAUAUUGGUCAAUGGACGCAAGUCUGAACCAGCCAUGCCGCGUGAAGGAUGAAGGUCCUCUGGAUUGUAAACUUCUUUUAUAGGGGGCGAAAAAAGGUCUUUCUAGAUCACUUGACAGUACCCUAUGAAUAAGCACCGGCUAACUCCGUGCCAGCAGCCGCGGUAAUACGGAGGGUGCAAGCGUUAUCCGGAUUCACUGGGUUUAAAGGGUGCGUAGGCGGGUAGGUAAGUCAGAGGUGAAAUCCUGGAGCUUAACUCCAGAACUGCCUUUGAUACUAUCUAUCUUGAAUAUGGUGGAGGUAAGCGGAAUAUGUCAUGUAGCGGUGAAAUGCAUAGAUAUGACAUAGAACACCUAUUGCGAAGGCAGCUUACUACGCCUAUAUUGACGCUGAGGCACGAAAGCGUGGGGAUCAAACAGGAUUAGAUACCCUGGUAGUCCACGCCCUAAACGAUGAUUACUCGACGUAUGCGAUACACAGUAUGCGUCUGAGCGAAAGCAUUAAGUAAUCCACCUGGGAAGUACGACCGCAAGGUUGAAACUCAAAGGAAUUGACGGG
Molecule: ribosomal RNA, 915 nt
Filed under: uncultured bacterium
Lineage: Bacteria
Description: bacterial SSU rRNA
Rfam family: Bacterial small subunit ribosomal RNA
Source: RNAcentral